Regulatory RNA element from Rahnella aquatilis, 176 nucleotides. It matches the Rfam family "FMN riboswitch aptamer (RFN element)". Rfam says of the family: The RFN element is a highly conserved domain that is found frequently in the 5'-untranslated regions of prokaryotic mRNAs that encode for flavin mononucleotide (FMN) biosynthesis and transport proteins. This element is a metabolite-dependent riboswitch that directly binds FMN in the absence of proteins. The record is from Rfam. Lineage: Bacteria; Pseudomonadati; Pseudomonadota; Gammaproteobacteria; Enterobacterales; Yersiniaceae.
GCUUAUUCUCAGGGCGGGGUGAAAGUCCCCACCGGCGGUAAACCACGGAAUAUAGGAAGGAUCAUCAUCCCUUCCAUGUGGAAGCCCGCGAGCGCUCAAUCCUUCGGGGUUAGAGGUCAGCAGAUCCGGUGUAAUUCCGGGGCCGACGGUUAAAGUCCGGAUGGGAGAGAGUAACG